This 90-nucleotide transfer RNA is filed under the name Gammaproteobacteria bacterium. RNAcentral describes it as "tRNA-Ser". It matches the Rfam family "tRNA". From Rfam's summary of the family: Transfer RNA (tRNA) molecules are approximately 80 nucleotides in length. Their secondary structure includes four short double-helical elements and three loops (D, anti-codon, and T loops). The record is from RNAcentral. Lineage: Bacteria; Pseudomonadati; Pseudomonadota; Gammaproteobacteria.
GGAGAGGUGCCAGAGUGGUCGAAUGGGCCUGAUUCGAAAUCAGGUGUGCGGUUACCCGUACCGUGGGUUCGAAUCCCACCCUCUCCGCCA